This 468-nucleotide ribosomal RNA is filed under the name uncultured bacterium. Its description in RNAcentral is "partial 16S ribosomal RNA". It matches the Rfam family "Bacterial small subunit ribosomal RNA", at positions 28 to 507 of the family's 1533-position model. The record is from RNAcentral.
GACGAACGCUGGCGGCGGGCUCAACACAUGCAAGUCGAACGGAAAGGCCCUGCUUUGGGUGGGUGCUCGAGUUGCGAACGGGUGAGUAACACGUGAGUAACCUGCCCUUGACUCUGGGAUAACUUCAGGAAACUGGGGCUAAUACGGGAUAGGAUGUCCUGCUGCAUGGGGGGGGUUGGAAAGUUUCGGCGGGUGGGGGUGGACUCGCGCCUUAACAGCUUGUUGGUGGGGGAGUGGCUUGCCAAGGCAUUGCCGGGUAGCCGGCCUGCGAGGGUGACCGGCCCCAUUGGGCCUGAGAUACUGCCGAGACCCCUACGGGUGGCAGCAGUGGGGAAUAUUGCACGAUGGGCGGAAGCCUGAUGCUGCCCCGCCGCGUGCGGGAUGACGGACUUCGGGUUGUAAACCGCUUUCGCAUGUGACGAAGCGCUAGUGACGGUCCUGGGUACAGCUGCCCCGCCUCACUACGUG